GUUAGGCAUUCAGUCCUUCUUCCCCCACCGGGGGCUGCUCCCAUCUUCUCUCAGGCGGAAUCCCACAGAAAUAAAAGAAGGGAGAGAAACAUUUUGGACAUUUUGGGAAUGAUUUUCCAAAGGAAGGAAUCGAUCUCAGGGGAAUCACAAGAGGAAGAGAAGAAAGAGAUGGGAGCCCGCUGCUGUGCUGCUACUAUCGUCCACCACUGCAUGGAAGCCUAAGCUCUUCACUAGGGCUGGAUGCAACCCUGACAAAGGG
Molecule: long non-coding RNA, 259 nt
Filed under: Phoenix dactylifera (date palm)
Lineage: Eukaryota; Viridiplantae; Streptophyta; Magnoliopsida; Arecales; Arecaceae
Description: long non-coding RNA (PDAC_LNC020344)
Source: RNAcentral